RNAcentral lists this ribosomal RNA (510 nucleotides) under uncultured bacterium. Its description in RNAcentral is "partial 16S ribosomal RNA". It matches the Rfam family "Bacterial small subunit ribosomal RNA", at positions 28 to 507 of the family's 1533-position model. The record is from RNAcentral.
GACGAACGCUGGCGGCGUGCUUAACACAUGCAAGUCGAACGAAGAGCGAUGGAAGCUUGCUUCUAUCAAUCUUAGUGGCGAACGGGUGAGUAACGCGUAAUCAACCUGCCCUUCAGAGGGGGACAACAGUUGGAAACGACUGCUAAUACCGCAUACGAUCUAAUCUCGGCAUCGAGGAUAGAUGAAAGGUGGCCUCUACAUGUAAGCUAUCACUGAAGGAGGGGAUUGCGUCUGAUUAGCUAGUUGGAGGGGUAACGGCCCACCAAGGCGAUGAUCAGUAGCCGGUCUGAGAGGAUGAACGGCCACAUUGGGACUGAGACACGGCCCAGACUCCUACGGGAGGCAGCAGUGGGGAAUCUUCCGCAAUGGACGAAAGUCUGACGGAGCAACGCCGCGUGAGCGAUGACGGCCUUCGGGUUGUAAAGCUCUGUUAAUCGGGACGAAAGGCCUUCUUGCGAAUAGUGAGAAGGAUUGACGGUACCGGAAUAGAAAGCCACGGCCAACUACGUG